RNAcentral lists this ribosomal RNA (426 nucleotides) under Ochrobactrum sp. Its description in RNAcentral is "bacterial SSU rRNA". It matches the Rfam family "Bacterial small subunit ribosomal RNA", at positions 8 to 422 of the family's 1533-position model. The record is from RNAcentral. Lineage: Bacteria; Pseudomonadati; Pseudomonadota; Alphaproteobacteria; Hyphomicrobiales; Brucellaceae.
AGAGUUUGAUCAUGGCNNNGAACGAACGCUGGCGGCAGGCUUAACACAUGCAAGUCGAGCGCCCCGCAAGGGGAGCGGCAGACGGGUGAGUAACGCGUGGGAAUCUACCUUUUGCUACGGAAUAACUCAGGGAAACUUGUGCUAAUACCGUAUGUGCCCCCCUUUAAAAUUUCAGGAUACAUAAAAUGCCCUGGCAUUNNNUGGGGGGGAAAGAUUUAUCGGCAAAGGAUGAGCCCGCGUUGGAUUAGCUAGUUGGUGGGGUAAAGGCCCACCAAGGCGACGAUCCAUAGCUGGUCUGAGAGGAUGAUCAGCCACACUGGGACUGAGACACGGCCCAGACUCCUACGGGAGGCAGCAGUGGGGAAUAUUGGACAAUGGGCGCAAGCCUGAUCCAGCCAUGCCGCGUGAGUGAUGAAGGCCCUAGGG